CUUUAAAGCAUUAAAGGAAAAGAAAAUAAAAUAUGUUUUCACAAGAAGAGAAACAGAGCAAUGAGGAGUGUUGUUCGGUGGGGGGGGGAGUCAGAAAAGACUAUAUCAUAAAGUCAUUUAGGGAAAAACAAAGCCCCCUCAAGACAGUAAUUUUGUUAGUGUCUCCCCAACCUCCUGCUACCACCACCACCACAUGCACUAUGUAAGAGACCAUUAGCUUUCGGGCAGUAGAAAUUUAGAAGGAUGCUUAUCAUGCAACAAAGACAAGAGUGCUA
RNAcentral lists this long non-coding RNA (275 nucleotides) under Fukomys damarensis (Damara mole-rat). RNAcentral describes it as "lncRNA (ENSFDAG00000021800.1)". Lineage: Eukaryota; Metazoa; Chordata; Mammalia; Rodentia; Bathyergidae. The record is from RNAcentral.